This is a long non-coding RNA of Homo sapiens (human), 1913 nucleotides long. Ensembl annotates it as lung cancer associated transcript 1. Its record names the gene LUCAT1. Lineage: Eukaryota; Metazoa; Chordata; Mammalia; Primates; Hominidae. The record is from Ensembl.
AAUCAACACUCCACUCAGACAAUGCCCAGACCUCCAGAAACCAUGUGUCAAGCUCGGAUUGCCUUAGACAGGUGCAAUUUAAGAACAGCUUUCAUCCUCUUUUCUCUCAUAUUGUCACACUAUGUGUUCUGACUUCUGGCUCCUUUCCUCACAAGAAGCUCACCCAGCUGGAACUCUUAUGGGACCUUGGCACCAGAGACCACAAAUUCCUCUUUGAAGUUUUCUAACAGCAACAAUGGUAUUUCUGACUUGGCUUUCUUGUAUUUCUCUCACGUUAACAAAAUUGGUUCAGCAUCUACCAUGGGCUACAUGCUGAGCUACAGAGUUUCGCUCUGUCGCCCAGGCUGGAGUGCAGUGGCGCGCGAUCUCGGUUCACUGCAAGCUCCACCUCCCGGGUUCACGCCAUUCUCCUGCCUCAGCCUCCUGAGUAGCUGGGACUACAGGCGCCCGCCACCACACCCAGCUUGAAAUAACACGGUGCUAAGCAUGGAUUUUUCCACCGAAUGAGGAAAUUCUAAUUCUAAUUGUUAGUCUCUUUAUCAAUGACGCCAAGUGGCAAGGAACAUCACCAUCUUUGGAGACCUAGUGGUGGAGUUAAACUACUACAGGGAAACAACUUUACGUAUAGAGGAGUUGAGCUUCCUAGAGGAAAAGAAGGAAAAUCAUUCCUAAUGGAAGAUCAACUAUUCAAGAAAGAAAGAAGAGCAAUGAGAAAGGGAACUGCCACAGCCACCUCAACCUUCAGCAAACACCACCCUGACCAGUGAGUGGCAAUCAACAUUGAGGCAAGACCUUUCAGCAAAAAGAUUAUAAUUCUCUGAAGACUCAGAUGAUCAUUAGCAUUUCUAGCAACAAUGUAUUUUUAAAUUAAGAUAUUUGAUGUGAUUCACCAGUACAGCCAUAUGAAGAUGAUAUUUUGAUUUUAGGAAUGUUUCAUUACAAAUGCAAUUCCUUCAACAGAGAAUGUCUCUGACGGCACUUCACUGACAGCUGAAUCAAGGCCAAUUCUAUGCCUCUGAGGAAUGCAGAGCAUACUUCAGGCUCUCCUGUUGCACAACACCCAAGUGAGCACCCAAGUGGUGGCUCUGGACCAAGAAUUGGACUGUUACAGCUACUGCCUACCAACAUAGGGUGUUCUGAGAGACAGGUUACAGCUACUGCCUAUCAACACAGGGUGUUCUGAGAAACAGCAAAGACACUUCGUUUCUGAAAAUGGCGAUCUGAGAACUUUAGAAAUGAACUUGAGAGGAAAAGAUGAACCUUAAAAAAUUUCACUAGGAAGUUGAACAUCUAGACCAGCAGUGUCCAAUAAAACUUUCUGCACUGAUACAAAUGUGUUAUAUCUGUGUUCUCCAAUAUGGCAGCUACCAAACACAUGUGGCUGUUGAGCACUUAAAAUGUGGUGAGGGUGAAUGAUAAACUGACUCUUUAAUGUUGCCUAACUUUAGUUUAAAUUUAAAUAGCCACAUGCAGCUAAUGGUUAUUGUAUUGAACAGUUCAGAUGUAAACAAAUGCUGGACUGAGCAACCAUUCAAAAAAAAUUUUAAGAUUCAUUUCUGAAUUCUUGAUCCUAAAAAAGUCCCUGUUUCCAUUGGGCCUGCUGUGAUGAAAUAAGUCUAUUUUAAGAACUUUGGGGAUAGAGAAAUCGUACUAGAUUUCCAAAAAAUUAAGGAUACUAAAGAUAUAGGUUGAUUUUUAAAGACUGUACUUGAACUUAUUCAUUUUAUAACUCAAAUUUUGUACCCUUUGAUCAAAAUCCUUCAUUUCUUUCACCCCCAGCACCUGACAACCACCUUUCUACUCUGUUUCUGUUACUAGUUAAUAAUUCUGUAUAUAAAAAUUUCUCAUUCAAACUAAAAAUAUAUAUAGUACUUGAAUUGUGAAUAUUUACCUUAAUUUUAACCUAACAUAAA